AAUGAAAGGAUUUGGAAUUCUCAAUCCCAAAAGGCCAAACACCCAAGAUUGAGAGUGCACUGGUUUUGCUGAGAUGGUUUUCAGCUCACAUUUGGAGCCUGUUUCAUCCCUACCUCCAAGAAGUGUUUAAAACAGAUGGCUGCAAAUCAUAGAAUACUGCUCUCAGAAGAAUGAAAAUGGAGGGUGAUUCAAGAGACAAUGGAAAGAGAUAAGGAGCCAUUGCAAUAUUCUCAGGCUUGGCACAAUCAGCAUAAUGUUUUCUGCAAUCAAGAGCAUCUGGAGGACCUCAUCACCUUCAGGGAAUGGCUUUUUGAUUUGGACUUUGAGCCAAACAGCCUUCCUGACACUGGUAUUGAAAUUCACUUAAAGGUACCAUAAGUUCCUGACAAAAAAUAUAUAUCCUGCUUUGAGAAACCCAAAGCAAUAGAGCUCCUUUAUAACACUGAUUUUGUUUGGUUUCUUAGGCAUGUGUUAGUUCUGUCCCCUGUGCUGGAUUAAACAUUUGCUUUAUGUAGUUAUUAUAUUUUAGGAAAAAAAAAUUUAACCUGUAGCAUAUCCAGACCUUUGUGAUAACAUUCCAGUUAUAAUGAGGUUCAAGUGAAUAAGAAAAUCCAAACUGAAAAGAUGGAUAUAAUAAGGGGUAU
Non-coding RNA from Phascolarctos cinereus (koala), 644 nucleotides. The record is from RefSeq and is a predicted model, not a curated record. Lineage: Eukaryota; Metazoa; Chordata; Mammalia; Diprotodontia; Phascolarctidae.